GACGAACGCUGGCGGCGUGCUUAACACAUGCAAGUCGAACGAAGAGCGAUGGAAGCUUGCUUCUAUCAAUCUUAGUGGCGAACGGGUGAGUAACGCGUAAUCAACCUGCCCUUCAGAGGGGGACAACAGUUGGAAACGACUGCUAAUACCGCAUACGAUCUAAUCUCGGCAUCGAGGAAAGAUGAAAGGUGGCCUCUAUUUAUAAGCUAUCACUGAAGGAGGGGAUUGCGUCUGAUUAGCUAGUUGGAGGGGUAACGGCCCACCAAGGCGAUGAUCAGUAGCCGGUCUGAGAGGAUGAACGGCCACAUUGGGACUGAGACACGGCCCAGACUCCUACGGGAGGCAGCAGUGGGGAAUCUUCUGCAAUGGACGAAAGUCUGACGGAGCAACGCCGCGUGAGUGAUGACGGCCUUCGGGUUGUAGAGCUCUGUUAAUCGGGACGAAAGGCCUUCUUGCGAACAGUAGAAGGAUAGACGGUACCG
This 482-nucleotide ribosomal RNA is filed under the name Veillonella dispar. RNAcentral's name for it is "bacterial SSU rRNA". It matches the Rfam family "Bacterial small subunit ribosomal RNA", at positions 28 to 480 of the family's 1533-position model. The record is from RNAcentral. Lineage: Bacteria; Bacillati; Bacillota; Negativicutes; Veillonellales; Veillonellaceae.